AUGAACAAUUCGACCUCCUUCUGUUGUGGAUGAUCUUUUCUGGUCUGGGUAAAGUUGUUGGUGUUGGAGCACUGUUCGAGAAACAAGAACAUGAAGGUCGCACUGACUCUAUGCUUAAACUGCUGACAGUUUCAUGGAAAUAAAUGUAUUUGUGUGCUAAUGAGAGAUGUGGUUUUACCAUGUUGCCCAGGCUGGUCUUGAACUCCUGAACUCAAGCCAUCUGCCCACCUUGGCCACCCAAAGUACUGGGAUUACACGCAUGAGCUACCAUGCCUGGAUAAGACAACCUUCCAGAUGGUGGAGCCUCUGUCAGUUGGAGUCCCAGAAUGCAGCAAUCUAAAGCAGAAGCCAUCACUAAAAGGCAGCAACGUGUGACAGAAACAAGAAAUAAACAUUGUCUGUGCCACAGAAAUGUUGUGGGUUUUGUUACCACACAUCUCCUGCCCAACAGAGACGUAUGUGGUGUAGUAGAAGGAGCAUAAUCACUGUUAAAAGUUGCCAGCAACUGGUUUCCCCAAGAGUUAUCUAAGGCCAUCAAAGUGGCUUUUCCUGUGUGUGACAAUGGACACAUAAUUAGCCACACACCCAGAUCUCCCAACUCUCAACACGUCAUUUUAGAAAGCAGCAUUCAAGGUGCAAUUUUAAAGUUAAAAUAUUAAAAUACUAACAAACUG
Long non-coding RNA from Homo sapiens (human), 674 nucleotides. NCBI's taxonomy places the organism in Eukaryota, Metazoa, Chordata, Mammalia, Primates, Hominidae. The record is from Ensembl.